This 73-nucleotide transfer RNA is filed under the name Cricetulus griseus (Chinese hamster). It matches the Rfam family "tRNA". Rfam says of the family: Transfer RNA (tRNA) molecules are approximately 80 nucleotides in length. Their secondary structure includes four short double-helical elements and three loops (D, anti-codon, and T loops). Lineage: Eukaryota; Metazoa; Chordata; Mammalia; Rodentia; Cricetidae. The record is from Rfam by way of RNAcentral.
GAAGGAAUGGCUCAGUGGUUAAGAGCAGCUGUUGCUUUUGCAGAGGACCUGGGUUCAAUUCCCAGCACCCUCA